This 465-nucleotide ribosomal RNA is filed under the name Vreelandella stevensii. Its description in RNAcentral is "partial 16S ribosomal RNA". It matches the Rfam family "Bacterial small subunit ribosomal RNA", at positions 338 to 795 of the family's 1533-position model. The record is from RNAcentral. Lineage: Bacteria; Pseudomonadati; Pseudomonadota; Gammaproteobacteria; Oceanospirillales; Halomonadaceae.
CCUACGGGAGGCAGCAGUGGGGAAUAUUGGACAAUGGGGGGAACCCUGAUCCAGCCAUGCCGCGUGUGUGAAGAAGGCCCUCGGGUUGUAAAGCACUUUCAGUGAGGAAGAACGCCUGGUGGUUAAUACCCAUCAGGAAAGACAUCACUCACAGAAGAAGCACCGGCUAACUCCGUGCCAGCAGCCGCGGUAAUACGGAGGGUGCGAGCGUUAAUCGGAAUUACUGGGCGUAAAGCGCGCGUAGGUGGCUUGAUAAGCCGGUUGUGAAAGCCCCGGGCUCAACCUGGGAACGGCAUCCGGAACUGUCAAGCUAGAGUGCAGGAGAGGAAGGUAGAAUUCCCGGUGUAGCGGUGAAAUGCGUAGAGAGCGGGAGGAAUACCAGUGGCGAAGGCGGCCUUCUGGACGGAGACUGACACUGAGGUGCGAAAGCGUGGGUAGCAAACAGGAUUAGAUACCCGGGUAGUA